CGAGAGGAACCGCAGGUUCAGACAAUUGGUAUAUGUGCCUGGUCGAAAGGCCAAUGGUGCGAAGUUACCAUCUGAGGGACUAAGACUGAACGCCUCUAAGUCUGAAUCCCGUUCAUAUUUGCAACGGUACAUUCCGUAUCCAACACGUGGCUGGGCAAGCUUACAUUUUCCUUUUGGUGUUUGGACUGGACCACGUGUUCGUCUGGGCCCAUUAGGUCUGGUGUUAUGCCAGAACAAUGACCUUAAAUUAUGCUCCGGAUUUCGGGGUGUAGGGGUCGACACGAUAUCUAAUUGUGGUAUGAGCGUGUAAAUACUAAAUCGUUUGUAGACGACUUAAUGUUUUGUCGGGGAGAUGUAA
RNAcentral lists this non-coding RNA (358 nucleotides) under Trichobilharzia regenti. Its description in RNAcentral is "Eukaryotic large subunit ribosomal RNA". It matches the Rfam family "Eukaryotic large subunit ribosomal RNA", at positions 3035 to 3340 of the family's 3401-position model. Lineage: Eukaryota; Metazoa; Platyhelminthes; Trematoda; Strigeidida; Schistosomatidae. The record is from Rfam by way of RNAcentral.